AUUGAACGCUGGCGGCAUGCCUUACACAUGCAAGUCGAACGGUAACAGGUCUUCGGAUGCUGACGAGUGGCGAACGGGUGAGUAAUACAUCGGAACGUGCCCGAUCGUGGGGGAUAACGAAGCGAAAGCUUUGCUAAUACCGCAUACGAUCUACGGAUGAAAGCAGGGGACCGCAAGGCCUUGCGCGAACGGAGCGGCCGAUGGCAGAUUAGGUAGUUGGUGGGAUAAAAGCUUACCAAGCCGACGAUCUGUAGCUGGUCUGAGAGGACGACCAGCCACACUGGGACUGAGACACGGCCCAGACUCCUACGGGAGGCAGCAGUGGGGAAUUUUGGACAAUGGGCGAAAGCCUGAUCCAGCCAUGCCGCGUGCAGGAUGAAGGCCUUCGGGUUGUAAACUGCUUUUGUACGGAACGAAAAGACUCUGGUUAAUACCUGGGGUCCAUGACGGUACCGUAAGAAUAAGCACCGGCUAACUACGUGCCAGCAGCCGCGGUAAUACGUAGGGUGCAAGCGUUAAUCGGAAUUACUGGGCGUAAAGCGUGCGCAGGCGGUUAUAUAAGACAGAUGUGAAAUCCCCGGGCUCAACCUGGGAACUGCAUUUGUGACUGUAUAGCUAGAGUACGGCAGAGGGGGAUGGAAUUCCGCGUGUAGCAGUGAAAUGCGUAGAUAUGCGGAGGAACACCGAUGGCGAAGGCAUCCCCUGGGCCUGUACUGACGCUCAUGCACGAAAGCGUGGGGAGCAAACAGG
This 750-nucleotide ribosomal RNA is filed under the name uncultured Comamonadaceae bacterium. Its description in RNAcentral is "bacterial SSU rRNA". It matches the Rfam family "Bacterial small subunit ribosomal RNA", at positions 28 to 776 of the family's 1533-position model. Lineage: Bacteria; Pseudomonadati; Pseudomonadota; Betaproteobacteria; Burkholderiales; Comamonadaceae. The record is from RNAcentral.